AACGCACGAGACCUGCGGACCUGCGGAAGGAUCAUUAACACUAAUUCAGGCCCGAAGCUCGCUUUGGGACUGGAUGGAUCCAUAUCCAUUUAUACCCCUGUGAAUUGUUAAAGUCUUUAUGAAGUGAACAACAAUAUGCCUAUUUUUGAGCAGUCUGAUAUGAAAGACCCCCGGCUUUGUGCAGGUGGUCGAGAUAACCUAAUACAACUUUUAACAAUGGAUCUCUAGAUCGGAAGAGCA
Molecule: unclassified non-coding RNA, 240 nt
Filed under: soil metagenome
Description: partial contains 5.8S ribosomal RNA, internal transcribed spacer 2, and large subunit ribosomal RNA
Source: RNAcentral